RNAcentral lists this ribosomal RNA (465 nucleotides) under Vreelandella stevensii. RNAcentral describes it as "partial 16S ribosomal RNA". It matches the Rfam family "Bacterial small subunit ribosomal RNA", at positions 338 to 795 of the family's 1533-position model. Lineage: Bacteria; Pseudomonadati; Pseudomonadota; Gammaproteobacteria; Oceanospirillales; Halomonadaceae. The record is from RNAcentral.
CCUACGGUGUGCUGCAGUGGGGAAUAUUGGACAAUGGGCGAAAGCCUGAUCCAGCCAUGCCGCGUGUGUGAAGAAGGCCUUCGGGUUGUAAAGCACUUUCAGUGGGGAAGAAAGCCUUGGGGCUAAUACCCUCGAGGAAGGACAUCACCCACAGAAGAAGCACCGGCUAACUCCGUGCCAGCAGCCGCGGUAAUACGGAGGGUGCGAGCGUUAAUCGGAAUUACUUGGCGUAAAGCGCGCGUAGGCGUUCUUAUAAGCCGGUUGUGAAAGCCCCGGGCUCAACCUGGGAACGGCAUCCGGAACUGUCAGGCUAGAGUGCAGGAGAGGAAGGUAGAAGUCCCGGUGUAGCGGGGAAAUGCGUAGAGAUCGGGAGGAAUACCAGUGGCGAAGGCGGCCUUCUGGACUGACACUGACGCUGAGGUGCGAAAGCGUGGGUAGCAAACAGGAUUAGAUACCCCGGUAGUC